UUCUGGUCUGGAGCUCAGCUGUAUUUGCCUGCUCAUGGUCCCUAUUUAUUUGGACUCAGACCUGCAAGUGGACUUCCCUGCUUGGCUGUGGAUUUAUUCUAUCUCUGUGGGCCUGUCUGGUGCUCACUGAGCUGUGUUUGUCUCUGACUGCUGUCAUCAGGCCUGAUGUUGACCAUUGUAUUGACUUCCAUCUUGACCUGGGAUCUGCCUCAUCUUCAUGGGCUUCCCUGAGCACAGGGGCUCUCGACUGAACCUGGCUGCAGUCUCUGAUCCUGACCUGCUUGCCCUUCUCAAGCUUCUCUCUGUGCAUAGACUCCUCUUCCCUGCCAGAUGGAUUGGUAGAUCUUGCAGCAAUCAAGAUUUUCAGCAGAAACCCCUGCUGUCCACAGCAAGCCUCAGACAGGUGGAAUUCAGUGGGGGGAUGGAGUGAGUUGAUGCAGGAAUGUCGAGCUGCUGAAAAUAGGACAACAUAAAAAGGCCACUUCCCAGUGCCAGCUUGGUGUGAGCUUCCUGAGAACACAUAAAACAUCACAUGCACCAUGUGUUUCAGCUGAACCUCAUGAGCAUCCAAAGGCUUUGUCAUGGUCUUAUGGACUCCGCUUAACCAUAGCUUGUUUCAUCCCAAAGCAAGCAACCAGCUGAGGAAGGACCUGUCAGCGAAGUGCCUUUACUUAAGGUGCUUAAGAAAGCACACAUGAACAGUGCCACAACCUCUGCACUGUGUGGGACUUUGCUGCAAGUAGAGCUUGCUACCAGCUCUACUUUGCUCAGCUGGUAGAGACAGGACUUCUCUCUUUAUCGUACAUAGGGAGAGAGUCAUGUAUCACUGUUUUCUUGCCUAGAAUGAUCCUAGGAAUAAGAUGAGGAUGAGGAAUAACAAAGAAAUUUGGAAAUGGGGAGUGGACAUACCUUGUAGAGGGAAAAACAGAAUGGGGGAUUAAUAGUGCCAACAAAUGAGGGAGAAGUUGGUAAGAAUUUAGCAGGCAAGAAAAGAGAGCUGCCCUCAUGGCAGGGGUGAAGUGAGCUUUGUGCACAAUGUCAGAAAGACAAGAGUUAUCCUGCUCUCCAUCCCAGGCAGUGGUUUAGUGAUCCCACCUGUCCCACCACAUGCCUCUAUCCCCUCAGUCUAUUCACAUGCACAACAAACUGUUUCCAUCCUCUGUAGCCAAGUCUUUCCUUUCUCCCAUGGUGUCUGCCUUUCUUGCCUGUAUUACCACUGUACUCUUAUUACUAUUAACCUCUUCUGUCUACAUCCUCUUGUAUGUCUGCUCCUCUGAGUCUCCAGCUGUGCUUUAUCUGGUAGGAAUCAGAGGGGCAGAUACUGAAAUGCACCCUGUGCUCUUCAGCCUUCAUCUCUUACACAUUUAAUGUCUGAUUUCUCCUCUAACCUAUCAGUUCUAUGCUGGAGCCAACUUGAGAGAGCAAAGCCCACUCCAGAAUGUUAUUUAAAGCACCACUGGAAGAUGCUCAGAUAUCCUCCUGAUGUGUGGUGCAAAGUCCCAGCCAGAGCAACUUGACUGCAGAGAAGAAUUAAAAUAUUGUGCUCAUAAGGAGACUAACUCCCCUUGCAGCUUUCUGGGAGAAGGGAGUGCAUAAUGGGGAGGGAGAUGUAGUUAUAAAGAUUCUAUGAGAUUCUCUGUUCUUUAGGGGACUGUUAAAACCAGUCAAUAUUUAUAAAGCUUUUAGUCUUACUCAUGCAAUUUGUUCCCCCUUCUAUGUGCUUGUCUUUGGGGCUCAGCUGUUUCUUGGCCUGUUACUGAUAUAAAAUUAGAUGCUGUGGUUCAACUGUAUCCUUGCUUAGAGAAAGGGAAAGGUCCAAGGCAAUGCAGAGCAGCUCAGCUGCCACCUCACUGCAGGCAGACAAGGAUCACACACAGAGGGAAGCAUCAUCAGCUCACAUCUGAUGGGCAUUGUACUAAAGAGAACCCUGAGGUUUAAACUGGGGAGGGUAAGGAGUGAAGCUGGGCUGCUUGUCUGGCUUUCUCUUCCAGUCCAGGGUUUGCCAGGAAACUAUUCAACUUCUCAGAGAACAAGGCAGCUCCGAAGUGUUGCCCUGGAGUGAGGGACUGAAAGAGUAAAUCAGGACUCUAAAGGUAUUGGAUGUGGGACAAGGCAGCCUAGGGAGAAAACAGGGAGCAGAAGCAUUCAUGCUCCACUUCUCACUUCUGCCUCUUAAUCCUCAGCUGAAGCACCUCCUCCAGAUUCAGCCUCCCUACUGACUAGGGUGACUUGGCUGAGGUUCCUGGUGAGGAGAGGAAGGCAAUAUGGAAACAUCUUCUGCCUGAAAAUGUGCCAUGACCUGCUGGUCUCAAAGACACUUCCAGUGAUGCUCCUGAAUGAUAAAUAUUGGUGUGCCUGUGUAGGACUAAUCUGACCUCCAUGCCAGGACAGUGUCCUGAAGAGGCAUGAUCCGGUAUGACCUGGUUAAACCACCAGAUUUACCCUGAGCUUGACCCCUCUCUCUUCUGACUUGCCUUCUCCAAGCCCAAAGUUCAUCCUGGAUGAUGAAUGUAGCUUGUGAGUGUAUUACUUUAAGUAAAGACAAGGCUGGGUAAUUUCCUGCUAAAAAUACCAGUAAGGGCACUUUUAAGGUUGUGGAGGUCAACUCUAUCUGCUAACAGUGCCAGCUUUCACUGUCAUUCCCCUUUCCUUCUCUCCAUGCUCAGUUACCAUCUGGUGUUUUGGUUUAUUGAUAAAUGUUGCCCUUUUUUUUUUAAAACUGUCACUACUUUUGGAGAGCCUGUCUUCUAACUUAGCUUUUCAUUUGCACCCCGAUCUACUGACACUCUGUGAGAGUUCUGCACAUGCAAAAGGGUGUUUUGUUGAAGGAACACCAAUAUUUUAUGGCUGUAGACUUGCACAUACAAAGUGACUUGAAAUGUGGGCUCCAGCUGAGGUUAUAGGACAUAUUCAUGCCUUACCACCCUGCAGCUUGAGAAGCAAAGCUGGCACAAGGGAUAACACAGCAAUUUUUUUUUUUUUAAUCCAGAAGAGAUGGGGCAGGUGCAAUCAUAUUAGGUGAUCCUUUUAGGUAGACCUAGAAUUUUUACUGGUUGGAGUAUAGCAAAGUCACUGCUAGGCAAGAAUGGCACUGAAUGCAGCCCUCAUCAAAUUGCCUCUUACAGCAUCAGUGUGUUGAGGUUUCAUCCAGGUAGUAGUGGCUGUGAAUAUCUGAGAAUGACCAAGGUGCUUCAUCACUAGCUGCCACAUUUGUUAUGUUUCUUAUGCCUUGAUUGCAUGGGCUUGUAGGCAGCUCCCUGCAGUGCACUAAGUGAAUAACAUAUUAUUCUGGUGGGUUCUGUUCUUUUGACAUAAGAGUAAGGAAUGACACAUUUAGCUACUUUCUUCUUCUCUCACCUACUGUGUAACAAUUUUAAUAAUACUUUCCUAUAAGUGAGAUUUUUGGAAGGCAUAUCUCACUUCAGAUUGCACAUGUUACUCUUCAACUUGACAGUCAAAAACCUCCUUUUUUUGUUGUGGCAUGGCUCAUGAUUUUCCUAGUGCUCCUCGUUAUGUUACAUGUAAGCACAAGUUUGUUUCCUCUGCUCAUUUUUGCAAUCACCCCAUUCAUUACCCCUGGUGAGCUUUAUAAUACCUUAAUCCUUGCAGGCUUCUGCUCUCCUUGUUCUUCAGGGAGCCUGAAUUCCCAAAGGCACCAUUCAGCUACCUACGGAAAUGACACACCUGCUUCUUGGAGCUCUUUGCCAAUGCUGUAAUGUCAGCUUCCUCUCAUCCACCCCUUCUGGCACAGGACUUCAAACCUCUCUUGAAGUGUCUUAGCUUAGAAAUGCUGGGAGGUGAUGUAUUAAGUGUUAUUUUUUUCCCCUGUCUGUUUUUUCCACUGCAUCACCUGUCUCCCUCCCUGGGAGGCCGUGCAGUAUCCUUGCUCUGGGCUGGGGGCAGGUUUUGUUUGAGCCCCCCAUCCUUGAUUUUUAUUUAUCACAGGGGGAAACAAUGCAUUCACAUCCUUCAGACUUCCUGUAGAUUGAAUGGAAUCCUAUACUGGGUUUUAUAGUUUUAUACAGGAAUUUGACAUUGGAGAGAAAAAACCAGAGCCCAUGUCCCCAGAAGGAAGUUCCCUGGCAUCAGUCACCUCUGACAUACUAGUUUUGGAUAUGGGCUUGUGCAGUCCCUGAUGGCAUGAGAGACCUAGAACCAUUCUUCCCCAUCCCUUUGCAUUAACCAUUAAUGGAUGCACAAGUUCCUGCCUGUAGGAUUAUUAUCCUCUGUGUCUGUUCGGACAGCAGCCCCAUCAGCUGGAAGUGAGCUUUGCCAUCAUUAAGGAGACUUCAACAAAGACUGUUCUGUCGAAAGUGAACAUCUUGAUGAGACUUAAUUUAUUUCACAGUUGUUGUUAUCCUGUUGACCAAAAAUGACAGCAGGAGACUUGGAGAGGUGCCCAGUUUAUUUAAGAAGCAAGCACAAAACAGUCUCUGCCUGCCUGGAGAAAGAUCGUAGCAGCAUAAAGCAAUCCUAGCUCCUAGUCCCAAAGCUCUGUCUGGCAGCUCCUGCACAUCAAAACUCACUGUGACUUUUCUGAGGGCCAGUCCAGAUUGUGUUGCUUUUUUUUUUCCUGUUUUUAAGUAUCCCAGCCUCUUCUUUGUGCAUCCUCUCAGGACUAUUUUCAGUGCUGUGAAAGCUGGGAAACUGUUGUGUGGUGUAAACCAGCAUAACAGUCUGGGUUUACUCCAGUGUUUAGGGGCAGAUCAGAUGCCUGGAUGCAGGUAGGCAAAGUGCCCAGUGCUGGAGCUCCCUGGCAUUUAAUACUUGUGUGGUGGCACAGUGCAGCUGCAGUGCCACGUCUGAGCCCUGCCCCAGAUGUGCCUGGUAUAUGUGCUCUGCCGUGGAGAGGGGCAGCUGGAAAACAGAGCCAAACUGGGCACAGAGUGCAAGAAAAGGGUCCAGAUCUGCAGGCUACAGCCAGAAGUCCACCAAGACAUAAGAAGAAAAAUCAUUGUGGGAGGUGGUGAGAUCUUUAGCUUGGAGAUCUUCAAACCUCACCUGGGGAAGGCACUGAGCAACCUCAUCAGAUUUUGAAGCCAGUCCUGCUUUGAGCAGGGGGUUGGACUAGUGCCCUGCAAAACCUCUUCUGAAUUAAAUUACUACAUGAGAGAAGAGUUAAAGUCAGAUCGAAUUCUGGUUUUUUCUUGGGAAACAAUAUGGAUUUUUCUUCCAACAGAAGGUCCUGUGAGAAUAAGUACCUGCUUUUAUAAAAGAGUGAAGGGUCACUGUCUUGUUAUCUUCAAUAAAAGGAAGUGGUUACUUUUCCCAGCUUUAUUGGGAUUCACCUACCCACUGCAACACGUACUACUUGUCAAGUUAGGUGCUGUACAAUUUGCACAGGAAAAGCUGAUGACAGUCUCUCAGAACAAACACCUGUCAUGCUUUUUGCCUAGAAGCUGCAGCUUGCCGGCACAAGUGAGAGUUGGAAGAGUGAUUUGAGAUCAACAACACUGAGGAGCCCUUUGGAGGAGCCAAAGAUGCAAUGCUGCUGCAGUGCUAGCAUUGCAUCAGUAACUCAUUCCCUGGUUCCUGUUUAAUUCCUUCUCAUCCUCAGUCCUGCUGUGGUCAUUUUUGGGUCUUCUAUAAUCAAGUGAUACCUGCCAUCUUCCAAUUUCAGAGACUUCAUCUGAAUAAUCUCUCAAAAAUCAAGGUAAAAUGAGAGAGAAAUCUGCUGUCAAGAAAGCAAAGAAAAUAUUUUGUGUGUAAUACACUGCCUUAGGGAACAGGUUGACAGUGUUGACAGGGUUUUGCCUGCAUUGCCCUUCCCAGGAGCCUGCUCCAGCCUUUCUGUGCUCUGACAGCUGGAGAUGUUCCCUGUGUUUCCACAUUUCCAGCAGCAAGAACAAAAUGUCAUUUACUUUAUGUUCCUGUAGUUUCCUUAGGUUCUAGCAGAGCUCACCAUCCACUGGCUAUCUUUGAGCUUCAGCAGACCUUGCAAGAUAAAUAAAUAUAGCUACAGGAAGGCAUUCCGAGCCCACAAUUUGUGUAUUAGAAACCUGAAAUCAGGAACUGCUCUGCUGUGACUUUGAGAACUGGGUACCAGAUCUUACUUUAGUGAAGUUAAACACAUGCAGGAGGACAGUUCAUCAUAAGAAUAGCCAAAGUCACAUCAUCCCAACAUGGAAUCUCUUGAAUGCAGUUCAGAUUUAUGACUAAUUUAUAUUGCUCGUUUUGGCCCUAGACAGACAACUUAAUAUGAUAUAAAUUCAUUACUGAAGACUAGAGCAAAGAGCUGUGUGUGUGGAGUAAAGUGCAUGACCAUUGGGAUGGACAGCUUUAAAGCUUUGUUCAUAAAUGUAGGGCCAUAAAGUGGCUCUGUUGCAUUAAAGUUGCUGUGUAAAUGUGAAUGCUCCAGGAUUUCAGCUUCUGCUGCUCUGACUUGAAUACUUAUAAUGAGAGAAGGGCAGGAGAAAACCAUACUCUGGGCUUGGAAAGGUGUGACCUAUGUCAGAUCAGUACAUUCAUUGCCACUUCUGUAUAAUCCUGGUUGCUUGGCCCCUUCUUUUGUCCUCAUUUUUGUCCAAGAAAAAAAUCUUAUUAAGUGGUCAAAAAGCUUGAUUAUGAAAAAGAUGAAGGAUGUCCAGAGGAAUAUCUGAGUUCAGAAAAGCUCUAAUUUAGGAGAAACUAGAAAUGGAUUUUAGACCUCUCAUUAGCCCAGAGCUGGCUGAAACCAUGGGGAUUAUUUGCAAGAAGUCCAGUUGUACUGUUUGUGUGGAUGGCUGGGGGAUUAGAAGGAGGAGCUGGGCAGUGCUGGGACUGUGACAGGAGAUAAUCUGUGUGAGCUGCCCCUUGGAGGGGCAAGACCCUGUGACUAAUCCCCAUCUGUGGGAUCAUAUGGAGAACCUGUGGAGUGGGGCUCAGCUGUGCACUGCUCACCUCUCUCUAAGUGGGUCCUACAUCCCUCUAGGCAGGAGGCUCAUCAGCUCUGAGAGUGCCAGCACACACGAGAGGUGUACUAAGUGUGUGCACUGUGAGGAGGGAUCACAAAUACACACAACUCCAUGGCUUUUUCUGUGCAGGAGGCUAAGAAGUUGAAGGGAAUGUGAAGGCAGUCAGAUUGAAUUCAGUCAUACCCAUGUUGGGGAUGGUGAAGUAUCAUUUGAAAGGGGUAGAAUUUCGGAAGACAGUUCCUGAGCUUUCAGGAAACAGGACUGGAAAAUUCAGGAGUAGCACAAGGCGAACCUUCUGGAAAUAAUUUUUUUUGUUAUUUUCUUCAAUGUUUUUGCUUUUUAAUAAAAUGGAAAUAUUAUUCCCUUUGAUGUUUUAUCUGACAUGUGACAUCCUACUCUGUCUCCCUCUCAGCUCCCAUCCCAGUCACCCACAGGGCAGAGUUCCCCGAGCCUGCUGGAGAGGGCGAGCAGGAAAUGGGCUCAGCCUCUGUAUCCCCCUGCUCACCACUGGCACAGGAGCCACGGGUCAUUGGAACAGAUGCUGGGACCAACUAAUUUCGAAUGUGGCAAUAUUAACUUCUUCUGCUGCUUGCAUAGUCCUCAGCUUCACGCAUUAUGAUAAAACAUAACAGCUGACAUGAGAGGUUAUGCUGAGCGCAGCCCAGAGAAGCUCAGACAUCCCUAAACCCCAAAUCCUCUUCCUCUUAUCUUCUCCCCAUUGCCCACGGCACAUCAUCUCGUUCUGUUUCUUUGCUGCCGGCAAACCAGGGUGGGCAGCAGCCUAAAGUCCUCCCGUCUCCGCCGAGAGCUGGCACCACCCCGUGUGCGGCAGAGCACCGCCGGUCCGCAGGCCUCCCACAGGGCUCCGUGACCGGGACUCUCCCGCCUCGCCUCGAGAGGUGCCCGCUCCAACACCGCCCCCGCCCUGAGGGACAGGGUGCGGGGGCCGUGGCACCGCCGGGCAGCGGCUCUGAGGCUCCCCGGGACACCUCUGCUUCUCCCAGGCCGGCGGAACAGUGCGAGCACGGCGGUGGGAUGGUUUGGGGAUGAGGGGCAGAGGCAGCCGGACCCGGUACGGGAGAGCGCCGGGGCACCGGAGCUGUCCGAGCGGUCUGACAGCCGCCCCGGCCUCCCGGCUGUAGCCUCAAAGCAGCCAACACCAACCCUCACCUCCGCCAAACAAUAAAACAAUAAUAAUAAUUUAAAAAAUUUAAAACCCCAAAUGUAUAAAUAACUGCCCCCGGAAGCCGCUCGUCCCGCUGAGCGGCUG
This is a long non-coding RNA of Passer montanus (Eurasian tree sparrow), 8163 nucleotides long. RefSeq lists it as uncharacterized. Lineage: Eukaryota; Metazoa; Chordata; Aves; Passeriformes; Passeridae. The transcript has 4 exons. The record is from RefSeq and is a predicted model, not a curated record.